This 473-nucleotide ribosomal RNA is filed under the name uncultured bacterium. Its description in RNAcentral is "bacterial SSU rRNA". It matches the Rfam family "Bacterial small subunit ribosomal RNA", at positions 28 to 499 of the family's 1533-position model. The record is from RNAcentral.
GAUGAACGCUGGCGGCGUGCUUAACACAUGCAAGUCGAGCGAAGCGCUUUACUUAGAUUUCUUCGGAUUGAAAAGUUUUGCGACUGAGCGGCGGACGGGUGAGUAACGCGUGGGUAACCUGCCUCAUACAGGGGGAUAACAGUUAGAAAUGACUGCUAAUACCGCAUAAGACCACAGUACCGCAUGGUACAGUGGGAAAAACUCCGGUGGUAUGAGAUGGACCCGCGUCUGAUUAGCUAGUUGGUAAGGUAACGGCUUACCAAGGCGACGAUCAGUAGCCGACCUGAGAGGGUGACCGGCCACAUUGGGACUGAGACACGGCCCAAACUCCUACGGGAGGCAGCAGUGGGGAAUAUUGCACAAUGGGGGAAACCCUGAUGCAGCGACGCCGCGUGAAGGAUGAAGUAUUUCGGUAUGUAAACUUCUAUCAGCAGGGAAGAAAAUGACGGUACCUGACUAAGAAGCCCCGGCUA